Molecule: ribosomal RNA, 440 nt
Filed under: uncultured bacterium
Lineage: Bacteria
Description: partial 16S ribosomal RNA
Rfam family: Bacterial small subunit ribosomal RNA
Source: RNAcentral
CCUACGGGUGGCAGCAGUGGGGAAUAUUGCACAAUGGGGGAAACCCUGAUGCAGCGACGCCGCGUGAGUGAAGAAGUAAUUCGUUAUGUAAAGCUCUAUCAGCAGGGAAGAAAAUGACGGUACCUGAGUAAGUAGCCCCGGCUAACUACGUGCCAGCAGCCGCGGUACUACGUAGGGGGCAAGCGUUAGCCGGAUUUACUGGUUGGAAAGGGAGCGUAGACGGCGGCGCAAGUCUGGAGUGAAAGCCCGUGGCCCAACCCCGGGACUGCUCUGGAAACUGCGGCGCUGGAGUACGGGAGGGGCAGGCGGAAUUCCUGGUGUAGCGGUGAAAUGCGUAGAUAUCAGGAGGAACACCGGCGGCGAAGGCGGCCUGCUGGACCGUGACUGACGUUGAGGCUCGAGAGCGUGGGGAGCAAACAGGAUUAGAUACCCUGGUAGUC